AUGGCCUCCCCCUCGGAUGCGAACUCUGCCACGAGCGGAGGUGCUUCGGCGGCCGCUAACGCCGCCCUGGAAGAUUUCUUCGAUCAUCUGGAUCUGAACGACGAGGAGUUCAAUGAUGUUGAGAUUGAUGAAGAGGAUCCCGAAAUCAAAGAGAGCAUACGGUGGCUAGCCCUAGCUAGGGUUCACACCGACAAGAAUUUCUCGCAGGCAGCUUUCUACAAGGACUUGAGGGCGGCCUGGAAUCCGGCGCAGCGGGUAAGAUUUCGCCCGGUCGGACCUAACAGAUUCGUUGUCCAAGCUUCUUGCCUGGGCGACUGGGAGAGCAUGAUGAUGCAAGGCCCUUGGCUCUUCCGCAACAUGGCGGUUCUGAUGUGUCCGUACGAUGGUUCCACCAAAGCGGACGAUGUGGUUUUCGAUCAUAUGCCCAUCUAGUUACAGAUACAUAAACUUCCUGAUCCCUAUUGCAAGCGGGGUAUUGUGGAGCGGCUCCUAGGGGCCGGCGAGAUCUUGGAGAUGCGUUUAAACGGCAACACCCGUGGGGACUAUGUUAGGGUUAGGGUUAACCAUGCCAUUAAGCAGCCUCUUACAAAGUUUGUGAGCAUUGUUCGGGCGCAGGAGAGGCAAGUUUAUCGGGUGCGGUAUGAGAAGUUGGCCCGUUUUUGCGGUUUCUGUGGUCGGAUAGGACAUGAGCAUAAGGAGUGUGGAUCUGGUGUUCAUGAUAAGAAAAAUCUCAAUUUUGGUGACUGGCUAUACGCCGAGGGCCCUAGCCGGCCGAGGCCUGACCAAAACCCUAGCAGAGUAGAUGCACCUCGUCAGCAAAAGAAGAACGGGAGCCCUAGUGCUCCAUUGGACCCUGGCCUCAAGGCUUCGGAUCCUGAGGCGCUCGACACUGCCACAAGCCCGGUGAAGACCCCGAGUGCACUCAUGGAAAUUGAUAGAGACGUGAGGAAGAGAUUGAACAUGGAUAGUGUUGGAGAUGAUGCUGUGAACAUACCUAAAAGCAAGGAUGUGGUUUUGGCCAUUAUGGAUGGCAUUGUUCAGGACCUGGGAGAGAAUGCCUCAUCAACAAGCAGCUCUUCAAGCAGUAAACGUGUCAAGCUCACCAAGGAUCAUGAUACCACGGAGAGAUCGGCGGUUUCCCUCGAGGAAGACCGCCGGACACAAUGA
This 1167-nucleotide ribosomal RNA is filed under the name Triticum aestivum (bread wheat). RNAcentral's name for it is "partial small subunit ribosomal RNA". Lineage: Eukaryota; Viridiplantae; Streptophyta; Magnoliopsida; Poales; Poaceae. The record is from RNAcentral.